Transfer RNA from Clonorchis sinensis, 72 nucleotides. It matches the Rfam family "tRNA". Rfam says of the family: Transfer RNA (tRNA) molecules are approximately 80 nucleotides in length. Their secondary structure includes four short double-helical elements and three loops (D, anti-codon, and T loops). The record is from Rfam. NCBI's taxonomy places the organism in Eukaryota, Metazoa, Platyhelminthes, Trematoda, Opisthorchiida, Opisthorchiidae.
GGCCUGGUGGUCUGGGGGUAUGAUACUCGCUUCGGGUGUGAGUGGUCCCGGGUUCAAAUCCCGGCCAGGCCC